Molecule: ribosomal RNA, 497 nt
Filed under: uncultured bacterium
Lineage: Bacteria
Description: partial 16S ribosomal RNA
Rfam family: Bacterial small subunit ribosomal RNA
Source: RNAcentral
GACGAACGCUGGCGGCGUGCCUAAUACAUGCAAGUUGAGCGAUGAAGAUUGGUGCUUGCACCAAUUUGAAGAGCCGCGCACGGGUGAGUAACGCGUGGGGAAUCUGCCUUUGAGCGGGGGACAACAUUUGGAAACGAAUGCUAAUACCGCAUAAUAACUUUAAACAUAAGUUUUAAGUUUGAAAGAUGCAAUUGCAUCACUCAAAGAUGAUCCCGCGUUGUAUUAGCUAGUUGGUGAGGUAAAGGCUCACCAAGGCGAUGAUACAUAGCCGACCUGAGAGGGUGAUCGGCCACAUUGGGACUGAGACACGGCCCAAACGCCUACGGGAGGCAGCAGUAGGGAAUCUUCGGCAAUGGACGAAAGUCUGACCGAGCAACGCCGCGUGAGUGAAGAAGGUUGUCGGAUCGUAAAACUCUGUUGGUAGAGAAGAACGGUGGUGAGAGUGGAAAGCUCAUCAAGUGACGGUAACUACCCAGAAAGGGACGGCUAACUACGUG